CACUCAUUUGGAGUUAGAACAGCCUGGAGUGGUGCCCUGGAACUGAUUCCUGAUGUACCGGAACCGUGUCCCUGGCUGGCAACUGAGGCGGUUGCAUGUGUUUUCUGUGGACUGAGUGCCUGACUUUCUCAUUGUCUUUUGCUCAUACUGGAUUUUUCCUCUUCCUAAAAUAACUUGGUCCUGGGAAUGAACCAUUCAGCAGCCUGGAACUUGAAACUCAAACUGAAAAAAAGGGCAGAAAGACUAGCAGUGGUUCCAUUCCAAUUGAGUCACCGACUUCCCUUCAAAGACUGCUUUCAAAUUGGUUCAAGUUACAGUAACAAUUUUCAUGGUAGAAACACAGGUUUGGUGAGAACUGGACUGAAUCUUCCAAGUGUCUGUUUGCUCUUCUGUGACUGUAUAAGGAUGUUUUUUCCACCUGUGAUGACUGCUCUUGAUUCUUUGUUGGCCUUCUCUGAGUUUUGGUUCUGA
Molecule: long non-coding RNA, 471 nt
Filed under: Anser brachyrhynchus (Pink-footed goose)
Lineage: Eukaryota; Metazoa; Chordata; Aves; Anseriformes; Anatidae
Description: lncRNA (ENSABRG00000007296.1)
Source: RNAcentral